Molecule: unclassified non-coding RNA, 368 nt
Filed under: soil metagenome
Description: partial contains 5.8S ribosomal RNA, internal transcribed spacer 2, and large subunit ribosomal RNA
Rfam family: 5.8S ribosomal RNA (bases 1-120)
Source: RNAcentral
GAUGAAGAACGUAGCGAAAUGCGAUAAGUAAUGUGAAUUGCAGAAUUCAGUGAAUCAUCGAAUCUUUGAACGCACAUUGCGCCCUUUGGUAUUCCUUAGGGCAUGCCUGUUCGAGCGUCACAAAAGCCAACUCACAGAUACUGUGGUAAUGGUGAGAGUGGACUGGCCACAAAUCAGUCCAUCUUGCUGAAAUGUAUGGGCGGACCAGCUGCCUUGGGCCCCUGACGUAGUAACCAGUUGCCGUCAGAGUAGGGUUGGGGACAUGUCCUGCCUUGAUGGACCCCCCCCCCCAAAUUCAUAAUUUUCAUGGUUGACCUCGGAUCAGGUAGGGAUACCCGCUGAACUUAAGCAUAUCAAUAAGCGGAGGA